Molecule: long non-coding RNA, 502 nt
Organism: Canis lupus familiaris (dog)
Lineage: Eukaryota; Metazoa; Chordata; Mammalia; Carnivora; Canidae
Exons: 3
Source: RefSeq, a predicted model, not a curated record
ACUGAUUAACACAGUUCUCUCCACUGAUAAUAAAAAAGAAGGUAUCCUUUACUGAGUGUAUAUGAUGUAUUCCAGGCAUUCUGCAAAAUUCUUCAUGUAGAUUAUCUCAAUGAAUUACACAAACAGCUUUGGGAGGCCACUAAUGAUGUGAACAGAAAGGAGGAUAAUAAACACCACCAUCCUAUGAUUUCCCUCAUACCUUGCUGGCUUCUCUGCCUCUUCCAGUCUCUCAGGGGUGAAGAGUCCCAGUCUUCUCUGCAGGUAGUGUGGUUUUGAAGACCACAGAAGAAAGUAGGAGAUGGGGAGCCUGGAAUCAACAUAUACCUGUUCUGUCAGAGAGAUGAAGGAGCAACUGUGUCUGGUCAUAAUUGUAGCUGGCCAUUAGCUGGCUGAGUAGCUAGGAGUUUACCUGCUUUUCUUGUACAGACUACAGGAGGCCACAAUGGGACCAUAAUGCGUGUUGCUAGUAGGUGGCCAAUUUAGGGAGGACAUAGUUGUCAGU